RNAcentral lists this unclassified non-coding RNA (235 nucleotides) under Hevea brasiliensis (rubber tree). The record is from RNAcentral. Lineage: Eukaryota; Viridiplantae; Streptophyta; Magnoliopsida; Malpighiales; Euphorbiaceae.
CUUUGGUCAUAUCCUGUUCUUGUACUUGAAUUUGAUGAAAAUAAUGGAAAUUGUAUGUGCAAUAUAAACAUCAGAAUUAUACUAAAUGGAAAUGUGGAUCAUUCAUAAGAUUUCCAAUGGUAAAAAUUUCAACUACUGACUUUAAUCUUCUUACCAGGAUUCAGCUCUAGUCCUAGGCAGAAGCCUCUGAAUUAUAUUCUUCAUUGUGUUUCUUGUUAGUUCACCUCAUAAGAAG